CGCUGUAGUUUAUAACUUCCAGUAAUCAUCUGUUCUCACGCUGAGGUGUGACGGUGGGAUUUACCCUCGUCCGAUCAAUCGCAUCCUGACCAUCCACAGGAAACGGGACCCACCCACGUGGAAAAAGUUUGGGCCAUCGGUAAAGCACCAGCCGGCUAUAAAUGAACACGCCUGCCUGUUAUUAAACCUGCCAAUAUUUUCAGUUUUCACCAACCGUUCAACGUUCCUCCCGCUUCACCGGAAAACCGAUUAUGACGCGCCUAGCCACCGGCGUAAUUCUCCUUCUUUUUGCUAUAUGCGGUCUCUCCGUCGGUAGCAGAGACAUCGUCGAAGACGUUAUCCGGUUGCCAUCGGAAGCGUCUAGCUUCUUCCGUCCUGGUGGUGCUCAUGUUGCUGAAGAUGACGACUCCACUGGGACGAGAUGGGCAAUUCUUAUUGCCGGAUCUAGCGGGUACUGGAAUUACAGGCACCAGGCUGAUGUUUGCCAUGCUUAUCAACUCUUGAGGAAAGGUGGACUGAAGGAGGAAAAUAUCGUGGUUUUCAUGUAUGAUGACAUUGCUUAUAAUGAAGAAAACCCAAGGCCUGGGAUCAUCAUUAACAAUCCACAUGGCGAGGAUGUUUAUAAGGGUGUUCCAAAGGAUUACACUGGUGAAGAUGUUACUGUCAACAAUUUUUUUUCUGCUAUCCUUGGAAACAAAACGGCUCUUACUGGUGGUAGUGGGAAAGUUGUGGAUAGUGGUCCUAAUGAUCAUAUUUUCAUUUACUACAGCGAUCAUGGGGGUCCUGGGGUGCUAGGGAUGCCUACCAAUCCAUACCUUUAUGCUGAUGAUCUGAUUGAUGUCUUAAAAAAGAAGCAUGCUUCGGGGACCUAUAAAAGCUUGGUGUUCUAUCUUGAAGCUUGUGAAUCAGGGAGCAUCUUUGAGGGCCUUCUUCCUGACGGUUUGAAUAUUUAUGCAACCACAGCAGCUAAUGCAAUAGAGAGUAGCUGGGGCACCUACUGCCCUGGAGAUUAUCCUAGUCCUCCCCCAGAAUAUGAAACCUGUUUGGGAGACUUGUAUAGUGUUGCUUGGAUGGAGGACAGUGACAUACACAAUUUACAGACAGAAACUUUAUACCAACAAUAUCAACUGGUUAAAAGGAGAACUGCGAAUGACAAUUCUGCAUAUGGCUCUCAUGUCAUGCAAUAUGGUGAUACAGGACUUAGCACAAAUAAUCUCUUCCUGUAUAUGGGUACAAAUCCUGCAAAUGAUAACUAUACUUUUGUGGAUGAAAACUCUUUGAGACCUCCUUCAAAAGCUGUUAACCAGCGUGAUGCUGAUCUCGUCCAUUUCUGGCAUAAGGUAUUUGUUCUACCUCUUCAUUCGAUAUAAAAUUGAAAUAUUGCCUUUUUAAUGUUGUGAAUAAUUGAUUUGUGGAUGAAAGGAUGAAUUUACUUAUGCGAAAAAACCAUUAUUUUUUAUGGUGAAGGUUGGUGCAAUGAGAAUGAAGAUUAUGAUUAAAUUUGUUAAAAUUGUCAGAAUUGGAACACAUUUAAUGAUAGCAGAAAAAGUUUUUAGGGAGUUUGUAAAAUCACUUCCUGGGUAGCAUACUAGGUGUUCGGUGCACAAAGUCCUUAUACGUGGGUGGGGAAAUGCUAGGCUGGUAGAUAGAAAACAGAAGGUAGGAAGAAGAUUAAUAUGAAACUUAUUGUAGGAACUGGGAAGUCAUGCAUCAGUUGCAACACCAUGGAGAUGAUCCCAUCUUCAGUACCCUACCGUUUUGAGAGCAACCAACUCUUCUGCUUUUAUUCAAUCUGACCAUAGCUGCCAUCUAUAUUUUCUGCAGUACCGCAAGGCCCCUGAUGGCUCUACUAGAAAGGUUAAAGCUCAGAAGCAGUUUGUUGAAGCAAUGUCUCAUAGGAUGCAUAUAGACAACAGCAUGAAACUUGUUGGGAAGCUCCUAUUUGGAAUUGAAAAAGCCUCAGAGGUGUUGAACGCAAUUCGUCCUGCUGGAAAACCUCUUGUUGAUGAUUGGAUGUGCCUCAAAACACUGGUGAGGACAUUUGAGACACAUUGUGGAUCCCUGUCCCAGUACGGAAUGAAGCACAUGCGGUCUAUUGCAAACCUCUGCAAUGCUGGAAUUGGAGAGGAACAGAUGGCCGAAGCAUCAGCACAAGCUUGUGUGAGCUUUCCAUCUGGUCCAUGGAGCUCCCUUAACAAGGGUUUCAGCGCAUAAUUGAAGAAUAUCCAUAUAUUUAAAGGAUAUACCAUUCAAUUAUAUUAUCUACCGUUACAAGUUUGCUGUAUUGUGAUUAUUGUCCUUGCCAUUGCUUCUGUGUAAAUAUAAUUAGAAGCAGAUCUCUACCUGAAUGCCAUUGUAAUUAACACGUUUCAUAUUUAAGAAUGCAUGAAAAUUUGGCUUAUCGUGGCAUGAUUGAAUCAUAACUGUUGAGAUUAAUGCCAUUUCGUAAGCAAAAGCCAUAUUGCCA
RNAcentral lists this unclassified non-coding RNA (2467 nucleotides) under Hevea brasiliensis (rubber tree). The record is from RNAcentral. Lineage: Eukaryota; Viridiplantae; Streptophyta; Magnoliopsida; Malpighiales; Euphorbiaceae.